This 99-nucleotide microRNA precursor is filed under the name Ovis aries (sheep). Its description in RNAcentral is "miRNA (ENSOARG00000022152.1)". The record is from RNAcentral. Lineage: Eukaryota; Metazoa; Chordata; Mammalia; Artiodactyla; Bovidae.
UACACUGGACUUGGAGUCAGAAGAAUUGGGUUUGCAUCUUGGAGAUGCCUUUUAUUAGCUAGUUAUGGUAAGCAACACAUGUACUCUCUCUGAUCCGAA